RNAcentral lists this ribosomal RNA (465 nucleotides) under Vreelandella stevensii. Its description in RNAcentral is "partial 16S ribosomal RNA". It matches the Rfam family "Bacterial small subunit ribosomal RNA", at positions 338 to 795 of the family's 1533-position model. Lineage: Bacteria; Pseudomonadati; Pseudomonadota; Gammaproteobacteria; Oceanospirillales; Halomonadaceae. The record is from RNAcentral.
CCUACGGGGGGCAGCAGUGGGGAAUAUUGGACAAUGGGGGCAACCCUGAUCCAGCCAUGCCGCGUGUGUGAAGAAGGCCCUCGGGUUGUAAAGCACUUUCAGUGAGGAAGAACGCCUGGUGGUUAAUACCCAUCAGGAAAGACAUCACUCACAGAAGAAGCACCGGCUAACUCCGUGCCAGCAGCCGCGGUAAUACGGAGGGUGCGAGCGUUAAUCGGAAUUACUGGGCGUAAAGCGCGCGUAGGUGGCUUGAUAAGCCGGUUGUGAAAGCCCCGGGCUCAACCUGGGAACGGCAUCCGGAACUGUCAAGCUAGAGUGCAGGAGAGGAAGGUAGAAUUCCCGGUGUAGCGGUGAAAUGCGCAGAGAUCGGGAGGAAUACCAGUGGCGAAGGCGGCCUUCUGGACUGACACUGACACUGAGGUGCGAAAGCGUGGGUAGCAAACAGGAUUAGAUACCCAUGUAGUC